GGGAAAGGUUCCCCCCCUUCCAGCAUCGACAGAGGUUAAUGCGAGUAUUUAACAAUGCUUUGCUCUCUUUGGGUAUUCACACUGCCUGAAAUCAGUUUCCCGUCCACUUAGCCAGCCCAGUUGGAGUCCUUUGUUGUUCUGAUGUAAGCCCGCUCUGCAGUUUGAGAUGUUUACAAGCUGGAGUACAAAAGCAGAAGGAAUGAGCAUUUCAGAAGGGAUCUUUCGUGCAGGCCUGAGGGAGCCCCAGGGAGAGCUCAGUCCACCAGUCUUGCAGGGUGCCUUUCUCUGAGUUGCAAGCCAAAGGGCGUCAAGAAGACCCCGAGGUUCAGCUUGUAUGGUGGCCAGGACUACUGCCCCCUAAGGCAGAUCAGUGGCUUCCAUGUGCAAGACGCUGGACACAUGACAUAGCCUGGAGGGCUAAUCACCCACCAUUUGGAGGUGAAAUCCGCCUGCUCACCUGCAGAUAUAUUUCUUGGGAUCCAGAUUAUUUGUCAUGCCUUCUAACUUCCUUGAAUUGGUUUUUGCUUGGUUUUAUUCUUU
This is a long non-coding RNA of Elgaria multicarinata webbii, 540 nucleotides long. RefSeq lists it as uncharacterized. The record is from RefSeq and is a predicted model, not a curated record. NCBI's taxonomy places the organism in Eukaryota, Metazoa, Chordata, Lepidosauria, Squamata, Anguidae. The transcript is spliced from 3 exons.